RNAcentral lists this ribosomal RNA (440 nucleotides) under uncultured bacterium. Its description in RNAcentral is "partial 16S ribosomal RNA". It matches the Rfam family "Bacterial small subunit ribosomal RNA", at positions 338 to 795 of the family's 1533-position model. The record is from RNAcentral.
CCUACGGGAGGCAGCAGUGGGGAAUAUUGCACAAUGGGGGGAACCCUGAUGCAGCGACGCCGCGUGAGUGAAGCAGUCUUUCGGUAUGUAAAGCUCUAUCAGCAGGGAAGAAGAUGACGUUACCUGACUACGCAGCCCCUGCUAACUACGUGCCAGCAGCCGCGGUAAUACGUAGGGGGCAAGCGUUAUCCGGAUUUACUGGGUGUAAAGGUAGCGUAGACGGCUGAGCAAGUCUGAAGUGAAAGCCCGCGGCUCAACUGCGGGACUGCUUUGGAAACUGCCCGGCUAGAGUGCUGGAGAGGUAAGCGGAAUUCCUGGUGUAGCGGUGAAAUGCGUAGAUAUUAGGAGGAACACCAGUGGCGAAGGCGGCUUACUGGACAGUAACUGACGUUGAGGCUCGAAAGCGUGGGGAGCAAACAGGAUUAGAUACCCCUGUAGUC